This 301-nucleotide ribosomal RNA is filed under the name uncultured bacterium. Its description in RNAcentral is "partial 16S ribosomal RNA". It matches the Rfam family "Bacterial small subunit ribosomal RNA", at positions 509 to 807 of the family's 1533-position model. The record is from RNAcentral.
CAGCAGCCACGGGAAUACGUAGGGUGCGAGCGUUAAUCGGAAUUACUGGGCGUAAAGCGUGCGCAGGCGGUUUUGUAAGACAGGCGUGAAAUCCCCGGGCUCAACCUGGGAAUGGCGCUUGUGACUGCAAAGCUAGAGUGCGGCAGAGGGGGAUGGAAUUCCGCGUGUAGCAGUGAAAUGCGUAGAUAUGCGGAGGAACACCGAUGGCGAAGGCAAUCCCCUGGGCCUGCACUGACGCUCAUGCACGAAAGCGUGGGGAGCAAACAGGAUUAGAGACCCCUGUAGUCCCUGUCUCUUAUAC